ACAGGCCAACUUGGAGCCCGGUUCUCCCCGGUGGUGGCUUUGUCACGGCGGCUCUGCCCUGAGCCUCAGCCAACGCUGCCCUAUUCGGGCAGAACCCAGCGCUUUCUGGAACCCUGGUGUUGCUGGCCACCUGCAUACAUUCUCCCCUUCUCCCAGAGAAAAGUGGCAUUUUUUUGGUAAGCAAGGACACCUGAGCCACCUCCACCCGUCGCCCCAAACCGUCUGGGGGGGUGAGGACGGACCUAUGUCCCCACGCCGUGCUGGCUUCUUGGUGAAGGGGACCCCGAGCGUUCACCGGCCUCUGCUGCCCGCUCAGGAAGCCCUGGCCGGAUCUGGGGCUUAAAAGAGCCUGUUUCCAGGUCCUUGGUCUGGCAACCAGGGAGCUCCAGACCCGGGCACCUCGAAAACCCGGAGAGGCUGCACCCGGGACAUCCUUCUCGCCCUCCGUUUUCUGCGACUGGCUCAGCCAUAUUCAGCGGAGCUGGGGUUCAGCCAGCCUGGCCACGAGGGGUCCCAACCCUCCAGAAAGCCAGAGGACUGCAGCACCAAAGCCGGAACGCCGAAGGGACAAGAGCGCUCAUUCGGUGGGCAGAGCCGCCGCUGAAGCACCAGGCUCGGCUGCAGCAGAUCCCGAUGUGUCUCAGCUCCGCCUCCGGCCCUGGCCCCUUUCCCCGGCCCGGGUCGGGUCUUCCAUUCCACUGUUUGGCUCGGAGAGGUCAGAGACGUGCUGGGUGCACAUGGGGCCGGAUGCAGCCAUAAAUCUCUAUGCAGGACCUCCUUUCCCGCUGCUCACACGCUGGUGCUCCUGGCCAGCCUCCCAUCCGGACUUCACCGGGGGCCCUGCUCUCCCGGUCACAGCCUGGGGUCCCUGGGACGGUGCAGGGAAUCAAGCCAGGAGCUUCCCUGUUCACCAAAGAGAGAAACGGACUCACCCAUUCAGUGCCAUCACCUUCCAUACCUGGAGUCGGCGGACCCCAGCCAGCCCAGGCCUCACCAGAUCGCAGCCUGGGGAAGGGCCACCGGCCAGGCACUAGCUCCUAAGAAGGCAUACUCGGGACUUUUCGCCUCUCAGCCCCGAGUCGGCUCCCACAUCAGCCACCAGCUUUCGGCUUUGGCGCAAAUAGCCCAACCAUGGGGAGAGCGGUAAUCGCUCUAGUGGCCGCCUGGUAGGGGCGGUGGUCUUUCUACCUGAACAGUCACGGAGCAUCUGGGGGACAGACCCAGAGAAGGUGCAUUUGCAAUAAUAACUCUUAAUGUCA
This is a long non-coding RNA of Mustela erminea (ermine), 1259 nucleotides long. RefSeq lists it as uncharacterized. The record is from RefSeq and is a predicted model, not a curated record. NCBI's taxonomy places the organism in Eukaryota, Metazoa, Chordata, Mammalia, Carnivora, Mustelidae. The transcript has 2 exons.